UAUUGCACAAUGGGGGAAACCCUGAUGCAGCGACGCCGCGUGAGUGAAGAAGUAUUCCGGUACGUAAAGCUCUAUCAGCAGGGAAGAAAAGGAACUCAAGUUCCCAUGACGGUACCUGACUAAGAAGCCCCGGCUAACUACGUGCCCGCAGCCGCGGUAAUACGUAGGGGGCAAGCGUUAUCCGGAUUUACUGGGUGUAAAGGGAGCGUAGACGGCAGCGCAAGUCUGAAGUGAAAUGCCGGGGCCCAACCCCGGAACUGCUUUGGAAACUGUGCAGCUUGAGUGCGGGAGAGGUAAGUGGAAUUCCUAGUGUAGCGGUGAAAUGCGUAGAUAUUAGGAGGAACACCAGUGGCGAAGGCGGCUUACUGGACCGUAACUGACGUUGAGGCUCGAAAGCGUGGGGAGCAAACAGG
This 413-nucleotide ribosomal RNA is filed under the name uncultured bacterium. Its description in RNAcentral is "bacterial SSU rRNA". It matches the Rfam family "Bacterial small subunit ribosomal RNA", at positions 362 to 776 of the family's 1533-position model. The record is from RNAcentral.